GUCCUAUUGUUAAUAAUUUUAGGUCUGGCCUGCCCAAUGAAUUUUUAAUGGCCGCGGUAUUUUGACCGUGCAAAGGUAGCAUAAUCAUUAGUUUUUUAAUUGAAAGCUUGUAUGAAGGGUUGGAUGAGAAAAUAGCUGUCUCUAUUUAAUUUUUAUAGAAAUUUAUUUUUAAGUAAAAAAGCUUAAAUUUUUAUAGAAGACGAGAAGACCCUAUAGAGUUUUAUAAUUUUAUUAAUGAAUUUUAUUUUAGAAUUUUAUUUUUUAUUUAUAAAGUUAUUUAGUUGGGGUGAUUAAAAAAUUUAAGAAACUUUUUUUGUAUUGAAUCAUUAAUUUAUGUAAAUUUGAUCCUUUAUUAAAGAUUAUAAGAUAAAAUUACCUUAGGGAUAACAGCGUAAUUUUUUUUUAGAGUUCUAAUCGAAAAAAAAGAUUGCGACCUCGAUGUUGGAUUAAAAGAAAUUAUUGGUGUAGAAGCUAAUAAAUUGGGUCUGUUCGACCUUUAAAAUUUUACAUGAUCUGAGUUUAAACCGGUGUGAG
This 534-nucleotide ribosomal RNA is filed under the name Cryptorhynchinae gen. sp. ARC4755. RNAcentral describes it as "partial 16S large subunit ribosomal RNA". It matches the Rfam family "Bacterial large subunit ribosomal RNA", at positions 1825 to 2625 of the family's 2925-position model. Lineage: Eukaryota; Metazoa; Arthropoda; Insecta; Coleoptera; Curculionidae. The record is from RNAcentral.